GGCUCAGAUUGAACGCUGGCGGCAUGCCUUACACAUGCAAGUCGAACGGCAGCACGGGAGCAAUCCUGGUGGCGAGUGGCGAACGGGUGAGUAAUAUAUCGGAACGUGCCCAGUCGUGGGGGAUAACGUAGCGAAAGCUACGCUAAUACCGCAUACGAUCUAUGGAUGAAAGCGGGGGAUCGCAAGACCUCGCGCGAUUGGAGCGGCCGAUAUCAGAUUAGGUAGUUGGUGAGGUAAAGGCUCACCAAGCCGACGAUCUGUAGCUGGUCUGAGAGGACGACCAGCCACACUGGGACUGAGACACGGCCCAGACUCCUACGGGAGGCAGCAGUGGGGAAUUUUGGACAAUGGGCGAAAGCCUGAUCCAGCAAUGUCGCGUGCAGGAAGAAGGCCUUCGGGUUGUAAACUGCUUUUGUACGGAACGAAAAGGCUCUUUCUAAUAAAGAGGGCCCAUGACGGUACCGUAAGAAUAAGCACCGGCUAACUACGUG
RNAcentral lists this ribosomal RNA (491 nucleotides) under uncultured bacterium. RNAcentral's name for it is "bacterial SSU rRNA". It matches the Rfam family "Bacterial small subunit ribosomal RNA", at positions 21 to 507 of the family's 1533-position model. The record is from RNAcentral.